GUCCUGGCCCUAAACGCUGCUCGCUCGCUUUUGGGAGUAUCGACCCUCUCAGAGGCUAAGCUAACGCGGUAAGCGAGCCGCCUGGGUAGUACGAGCGCAAGCUUAAAACUCAAAGGAAUAGACGGGGACUUGCACAAGCGGUGGAUCAUGCGGCUUAAUUCGUCGCUAAGCGAAGAACCUUACCAGGGUUAGAAACCAAACUGCAUAUUCUAAGAAACUAGAAUAGCCUUCGAGGGUGUUUGG
RNAcentral lists this ribosomal RNA (243 nucleotides) under uncultured bacterium. RNAcentral describes it as "partial 16S ribosomal RNA". It matches the Rfam family "Bacterial small subunit ribosomal RNA", at positions 793 to 1033 of the family's 1533-position model. The record is from RNAcentral.